This is a non-coding RNA of Danionella cerebrum, 70 nucleotides long. The record is from the annotation of a GenBank genome assembly. Lineage: Eukaryota; Metazoa; Chordata; Actinopteri; Cypriniformes; Danionidae.
UCCUGUCGCUCAGUCAGAAGAGCAUUGUGCUAGCAACAUAAAGGUUGUGGGUUCAAAGCCCAUGCAGGGA